UGGGGAAUUUUGGACAAUGGGGGAAACCCUGAUCCAGCCAUGCCGCGUGAGUGAUGAAGGCCUUAGGGUUGUAAAGCUCUUUCGCACGCGACAAUAAUGACGGUAGCGUGAGAAGAAGCCCCGGCUAACUUCGUGCCAGCAGCCGCGGUAAUACGAAGGGGGCUAGCGUUGUUCGGAAUUACUGGGCGUAAAGCGCGCGCAGGCGGGUCAUCAAGUCAGAGGUGAAAGCCCGGAGCUUAACUCCGGAAUAGCCUUUGAAACUGUUGAUCUUGAGUACGGGAGAGGUGAGUGGAAUUCCCAGUGUAGAGGUGAAAUUCGUAGAUAUUGGGAAGAACACCAGUGGCGAAGGCGGCUCACUGGCCCGUUACUGACGCUCAGGCGCGAUAGCGUGGGGAUCAAAC
Molecule: ribosomal RNA, 401 nt
Filed under: uncultured bacterium
Lineage: Bacteria
Description: bacterial SSU rRNA
Rfam family: Bacterial small subunit ribosomal RNA
Source: RNAcentral